This is a long non-coding RNA of Panthera uncia (snow leopard), 1136 nucleotides long. RefSeq lists it as uncharacterized. Lineage: Eukaryota; Metazoa; Chordata; Mammalia; Carnivora; Felidae. The transcript has 3 exons. The record is from RefSeq and is a predicted model, not a curated record.
UAUUACUCUGAUCCUCACACUACUGAAAGGCAGCUAAUCUGGAGAAAUGUGAAUUUCAUCGGGGGCAAAAGGAAUAAUUUGAGAGAAUGGGGCAUUUUAGAGGAAUGGAGGUCUUACCAGGAAGAUAAAGGAAGGUACUUGAAACAGGUGAAAAAAUUGUACUGACACUGGUCAUCCACAACAGAAAAGAAGAAGACUGAGAGGUAAGACUGGGUUGCAUAAAGGGGCAAUACUUGCCACUCUAAGUCUGUGCCCAUGAAUCUAUAAAGUAGCUGAGAUCAUGAGCUUUGGGAUCUGAAUGGCUUGGGUUUGAAUCUUACCUCUGCUGUUAACUAACUGUGUCACCACGGGCAACUUUUUAACUACUCUGAACCUUUCCUCUUUGAAAUAGACCUACCAAUGCUUAACUCACAAGGCCACUAAAAGAGUUAAAUGAGGGUGUGGCAUAGAGUAUUUAGCACAUGCCUUCGUAAGCACUUUUCUAUAAUAAGCACUCAAAUGGUAGCAUACCAACUAUUAUUAUUUUUGUAGUAUCAUCCUAUAAUUAUAUUUUUGUUAAAGUUGGAGAUUUUUAAAUGUUUAAUGUUUAUUUUUUGUUUAUCCUCUAGAUUGCAUGGCUAUUCUGAAUUGUGAAGUUGCUAAAAAAAAAGAAAGAAAGAAAGAAAAAAAAGAGAAGAAAAAGAAAACCCCACAAAAACUCAAAACCUUCAUCUGGAUUGGUGGAGGGCAUUAAAUCAACAAAGGUAGUGCAUGGAUUACCAGUUUAUGACUCAAGAAGAAAACAACUUAUAAUUUCUCUGUAACUCAGAGACUGAAGUAAAUUGGGACCCUUCUAAAGUAGAACAAGAUUACUAUUCAGAGAUGCUAUUUUCAGCAGAGAAAAGGUGAAGAAAAGACGCUUACUACUUCAGCAAUAAGAACGGAGCAGUAUUCUUCCUUCCAGUUGGAAAGGCUUUGGAGAGAAAAUGUCUCACUUGAGCACCCCAGGGGCUGCAGAACUGGUCCCACAGUGUGGUCUAGGUAAUGAAUUUGCAGGAGCGGUGUUUACUCUUGCUGGUGCACACCCUGACAGACAUCACCUCAGCCUGUGAGAUUGCAGGGGCAGGAGGCUGUCCACAACCACAAGUUACAGCUCA